Molecule: long non-coding RNA, 134 nt
Organism: Oncorhynchus keta (chum salmon)
Lineage: Eukaryota; Metazoa; Chordata; Actinopteri; Salmoniformes; Salmonidae
Exons: 3
Source: RefSeq, a predicted model, not a curated record
CUCCAGGUUAGCUGACUCCUGACUCCAGGUUAGCUGACUCCAGGUUAGCUGACUCCUGACACCAGGUUAGCUGACUCCUGACUCCAGGUUAGCUGACUCCAGGUUAGCUGACUCCUGACUCCAGGUUAGCUGAC